ACAAUAAAGCCACACAAUGUCACUCUGCAGCUGUCUCACUUGUUUUAUUUCAAUCUUAAAACAUUGUACUGUUCAUGAAACCAAACGGUUUCUUAAUUCGCGCAACAAUCAAAAUAAAUUGAGUGGCGCCGGACCCUUACGAACACGACCUGAUGCAUCGUAAUGCGAACCGUGGCACGGGCAGUAGUAUCCACCGAAAUCACCAGCAUUAUGAAUUGGUACGCAUCCUAAGUGGGUGCAUACACCGACAACGAUCAACCACUUUGGAUCUUUCACACGUUCCUAUAAAGAAAAAUCAUUCGUUUAAGUUUUGUGUUUUUGGCUUUUGGAUUGGAUAUGUCCAAAAAUUAAAAGUAGUCAUACCGCAUCAGUUUGUGGAUCUCUCAAUAGACUCAAUGGUACCGCUUCUUCUUUGGCAAUUUCACUGUCAACACGAUGGCGUAUGAACAAUGGCUUACCACGCCAUGAGAAUGUGACUGAUUUCCCUUCGGGAAUGUCAGCCAAUUUAAUUUCGAUCGAAGCCAUACUGAGAACAUCACGAGCUGUUCCCAUAUAUUCGCAAAGUGAGCGCACAGUACCUUUGGCACCAUACAUUCCAGCCGCCCACAUUCCUAUUCAAGAGUAAAGAACAUGCGUCAUUAUUAUGCAAGGCCAUCGAUGAUAUUAGUGGUUAUACAAACCUCCAACGAUGAGGUAGUGGUAAGUCAUCUGCUUCUCAUUAUCAGUGGCGCGAGCUGGAUUUUUUUUAUGGCUCCAUCGGUAUUCAUCGAAUGAUGGCACUUUAAUGUCACGAUGCGACAUAGAAUAGAGUCGCACUUGUUUUCUAGCUAAAAGGAUGAAAAAAUCAUCAACACAAGCAGUGUCGGCUGUUUCUAAAAACCGAUUUUCAGUGUGAACUACGAUAUUUUUAUUAAGAGGUAUAAUUCACAUUAUUCACGAAAAAACUAUUGUUCAAUAUUGAGACGCCCAGAGCGAAAAAUAAUAUACAAAAGAAGAUUUUAUUUUAUUUGCGUACAUUAUCUUUGCUUCGAUGCAUUUAAAAAAAACAACGUAAUUACGAAUUCACAGGAAGAACUACUUUUUGCGCACUUGAAUAUUGUUGGCACUUGUAAUACUUACCACCACCGAUCGAAUUUUGAGCGACAAGUGAAUUGUCCGAAUUAUAGACUGAUGCCGAAACUUUAAUAGUGUUGGCAACGAUUUGCGGUCCACCACGCAAAAAUAUUACCAAAUUUCCUGACCUUGCAAUUAUAUUCAUGUUCAGUCACUAUUGAAUAAAUGAUAUCAACGACGCAAAAGUGUUGUUCGGAUAUAUAGAGAAUCUUCCAAAUGAAAUAUAUGCAACACAUUUUACGAAGUACUAGAUUUAGAAGAAAAAAAUCUUUGAAUUUAUAUGAAAUGAGGCCGUUUUUUUAAAUAAAAAAUAGCAAAUCAAAUAAUAGCAAACAAUUAGUUUUGAAUUUAAGACAAAUAUUCGCAAUUGUUUCUUGAUUUUCUUAGCCAUCUCUUAUUUUGCCUCAAGUGUUGUUGUUAUUUGCAGUCGCUGCUUCAUUAGUGCUUAAACCAUAGAAUUCCAUAACUUUCAUUCAAAUCGUUCGUUUCAAUUGAAUGAUUUCCAAUAUAAACAAAAAUCCCAUCUAAUUUUGAUCUAUACAAUUUAUUUAGAUAUUUUUUUCCUUUAAGUUCAGGGACAAACUCAGCAAAUGGUAAAUUAGUUUAUCAUUUUGUUUUGGUUAUUAAUAAAAUUCACAUUGUAUGUUUAACCGACAAGAACAACAUCAUCUUUGAAUGUGUAUUCUGGUACUUCUAGAUUGAGUGGAGCUGGACCUUUACGAAUACGACCUGAUGCAUCGUAAUGGGAACCGUGGCACGGGCAAUAGUAUCCACCGAAAUCACCAGCAUUGGCAAUUGGUACGCAUCCCAAGUGAGUACAUACACCGACAACAAUCAACCAUUUUGGAUCUUUCACACGUUCCUACGGAGAAAAUGAAUUUGGUUUUAGUUCGUUUUCAAAUGGUUAUGUAUAAACGAAUAAAAAACAGAAUUAACAUACUGAA
This is a long non-coding RNA of Contarinia nasturtii (swede midge), 2057 nucleotides long. RefSeq lists it as uncharacterized. The transcript is spliced from 2 exons. The record is from RefSeq and is a predicted model, not a curated record. Lineage: Eukaryota; Metazoa; Arthropoda; Insecta; Diptera; Cecidomyiidae.